GUGUUUGUGUGUGUGUGUGUGUGUGUGUGUGUGGGUCCAGUGUGUGUGUGUGUGUCACACACACACACUGGACCCACACACACACAUGCUGACACACACACACACCGGGUACACAC
This is a small nucleolar RNA of Coregonus clupeaformis (lake whitefish), 116 nucleotides long. RefSeq annotates it as small nucleolar RNA SNORA23. The record is from RefSeq and is a predicted model, not a curated record. The transcript has a single exon. Lineage: Eukaryota; Metazoa; Chordata; Actinopteri; Salmoniformes; Salmonidae.